Molecule: long non-coding RNA, 1797 nt
Filed under: Anas platyrhynchos (mallard)
Lineage: Eukaryota; Metazoa; Chordata; Aves; Anseriformes; Anatidae
Description: lncRNA (ENSAPLG00020009085.1)
Source: RNAcentral
AUGGAGAGGGGCAGCCCCCCUGCCAGCCUCAGACCAACCCUCGGGUUGUGCCCAGCCGCUGGGCGAUCCCAAAAGGCUGCCAUCCCCGCUGCUCACCUCCCUGGCUCCCUGCCGGCUCCGCUCCUCCUCCUCCUGCAGGUUCUGCAGGAACUCGGACAGCACCAGGGAGUCGCGCAGGUCGGCGGCUCGGCGCCGCAGGGCUGCCUGCACCUGUGCCAACCUACGGGGACAGGCGGCCCUCAGUGGACACCGGCACCUCCCUGGGUGAAACAUCCUCCUCCCCACGCGCCCCGGGGCCAGGAGAGGAGGCGGCCUCCCCUGCUACUCACUUCUCCUCCACCAUCUCCACCUUCCUCUGCAUCUUCCUCGCUCCCUCGCGCUCCGCGGGCAUCCCGCCCGCCGCCUCCUCCCGCAGCGCCUGGAGCUUGCUGCCGCACAGCAGGAGCUGCCUCUCCAGCUGGCCCUGUCCCCUCCAGGUCCCUGCGCAGCUCCGCGGGGCUCCUCAUGGCUGCUGGCUCCGAGAGCGACCCCGCCACGGCUUGCAGCCACCGCUCGGCGCGGUCCAGCUCCCCCACCAGCCUCAGCGCCUGCGGGGACAGCGGGGAGGUGGGACCGACCCCAUUGGCCCCCCAGGGGGUGCAGGAGCAGCGUGAGGGUGACGCCGGCCACUCACCUUAUCGAUUUCCCUCAGCACGGCACCGUUCUCCUGGUGCUUCCUCUGCAGGUCCUCCCACAGCUCGCCCAGCUCCCGCAGCAUGGCCUCCACCUGGGGGCUCCCCGCGCCCUCCUGGAGGCAGGGGCAGCGCUCAGGGUGGCUCCCACCCCGUGUCCCCAUGCUGGAGGGGGCUCAGCGGUGGCACAGGCACGCAGGAGCCCGCCCUUCCCAGCUCUCUGCAUCUCCCCCCGGGAGCUGGGGGGGCUCUCCUCGAGCGGGGCUGCAGCCUGCUGAGGAGCACGGGGACCCGAAAUUCGCAGGGGGUGGGAAAGGGGACCCCAAAAAUGGAUGGACUGGGAAUAGAGGGGCAGGGGGGACGCGGCUGGGCUCUCGGGGAGGCGUUACCGUGCUUGGCACCCGGCCGACAUCCUGCGCCAGGGCCUCGGGGGGCCACGUGCCCCUCUCAGCCUCCACCUCUCCGGGACCCCGUCUCCUCCUGCGGAGAGGGGGGCGGUCAGCCACGGGGACCCCCGCUCCGCCCCACUCCCCGCAGCCUCCUCCGCGAGCCCGUACCUCCUGCUGUCCCCUCCCGCUGCCGGACAGCCAGGGCCGCUCUCCUCGCCUCGCACGUGCUCCACCAGCCUCCUCGACAUGUCCCUCGGCACCUGCGGCACCAAGGCUCCCAUGCCUCCUCCGCCCGGCCCCAAAAGGGCUUCGCCUCGCCGCGGGCCGGGUGCAGGGCUCCUUGCUGCAUCCCAGCCACGGCACAGCGCUGGGCUUGGGCUUGGGCCAGCGGCCAAAUUCCCACAAGCUCGGCCGCCUUCCUACCACGGAGGCCCCGGAGAGGCCGGGGGGAGGCAGGGCUGAGCCGUGCUCACCGUGCUGCCGCCGGGAUCUCUCUUCUGCUUGUCUCCUGCCUCCUUUCCCACCAGCUCCUGGCUGCUGCCGUCUCCGCGGGGCUCAGCGCUCGCAGCCGCAGCUUCCCCCCCUGGGAAACCGCUUCCCACAGCCACUGCCGGAGCCUUGUCCGUCCUGGGAAGGGGCAGGGAGUGAAGGGAGGCUCGGGGGGGGGGGGCAGAGGAUGGAGAAAAGAGAGCCCCGAAGUGGAGAGAGCCCCUAAAGCUCACUUUUUGUGGUCCUGA